AUUCUGUCUUCUUCCACAAAAGUAGAAACACAGAACGGACUAGAUUGCCUCAACUCUAAGACACUCUCCAGGAAUUGACGAAACAUGUCUGGUACGUACAAAUGUGUAGUUUUCUUGCUUGUUGCAGCAGUACUGGUAAACGUCGUAUACUCCAAGAAUGAUGACGAUAAUAACGACGGAUAUAUGGAAAGACGCGGAAAAGUAACAAGUUGUCCCCCUAUUGAACCAGAUGACGUCGGCACGUGUUCCAACAAUUAUAGUUGUGACACUGAUGAUGACUGUAAAAGAAAAGAGAAGUGCUGCAUUAACGCGUGCGGCUCUUACACGUGCGUUACGGCUGUUUGAAAUAGUAACUGUUUAAACGAGAUUUGAAAAUAGACAUUGCUUUGACACCAUCUACCAAGUCUACUUCAAUUGAAGCUCCGCCAAUCACCGAUAGUAUUUGACUGUUUGAACCCAUUUUUAGCUGUGAAUCGAUGUAUGAUAUAUCGUAUGGUAUCUACUAGAAUUAUUGACAUGGUAUUGCUGUAUUGUGCUUCACUUUCUUAAAUGCUAUAGUAUGUUCUUUUCAAAUUCUCCAAUACAUAGCAUGUAAUAAAGAAAAUGACUAAACCG
Molecule: long non-coding RNA, 615 nt
Organism: Saccoglossus kowalevskii
Lineage: Eukaryota; Metazoa; Hemichordata; Enteropneusta; Harrimaniidae
Source: RefSeq, a predicted model, not a curated record